AUAGCUUACUUAUUGCCUGUUUACAUGCCUCAGCUCAGCAGUGCAUGUGCAGGGACUUUGGUCUGAUCCAAGGCUUUUAUUUUCACCCUAUUUCCAACCACGUUGCCUUAUUUUAUUAUGCCCAGGACCAUGUUGAACAUGCAGCAGGGGAAGAUGUUUUUGUGAAUGUCUGAGAGCCACUGCUUCCCGUGUGCAGCCAGCAGGGGAGCACACUUCUGAGGAAACUUAAUGAAGGGAUUUAAGCUGAUUCUCUUGAAGCAGAAUCACUUUGACGGCAGCAGCAAGAGUGAAUUCCGUAACAGAGACACUUUAAGGGACGAAACAUCUGACCAAUGGGAUUCCUCCAGAGCCAGAACUUGACUCGGGGCUUCACCCAGCAAGAGGUCACCAACUGGGAGUCAAUAUCACAGCAACAGCAGUCAUUAUCUGUUAACACCAUAAUCCUGCUGGGUGUGUUGACCUUUGCCCUCCAGCUGUGUUUACUUCUGUUCGUCCUGCUGAGAUGUUGGAGAAUCGGCAACAAAGUAGAAAACGCUCUCGAGCAUCAAGACACUGAAAAGCAAACUAUUGCUUUGUCAGCCAUCUAUACAGACACACAUCAGCUAUUUGAUGGUGGGAUGCCGUCACAUUUGACAUCACAUUCAGUGUUUGUAGAUGAUGAUGAAUACGAACCCUUCACAAACUCACAGUUGGUACCGUCCAUACCCUGGGACCUUGUUCAGGGCUGAGUAAAGGAAUGACUGCCUUCACGUGUAAUCUACUGUACAUGUAAUGCACUGUUUGGGAGAGGACCAAUGAUGUUUGUUUGUUGCAGCCUUGUGAAUGUGAAUACCAAAUGAUAAAUAGAUGAAUCACAGGAUUAACCAGUAAUGUAA
This is a long non-coding RNA of Solea senegalensis (Senegalese sole), 875 nucleotides long. RefSeq lists it as uncharacterized. The record is from RefSeq and is a predicted model, not a curated record. The transcript has 4 exons. NCBI's taxonomy places the organism in Eukaryota, Metazoa, Chordata, Actinopteri, Pleuronectiformes, Soleidae.